GAGGACGACGCUGGCGGCGUGGAUUAGGCAUGCAAGUCGAACGGUAUCAUCCUUUCGGGGGUGAGAGAGUGGCGAACUGGUGAGUAACACGUAGGUUAUCUACCCUCAAGACGGGGGACAACCCAGGGAAACUUGGGCUAAUACCGGAUGUGAGCAACUUUUAGUUGUUUGAAAGGUGGCGUAAGCUGUCGCUUGGGGAUGAGCCUGCGUCCUAUUAGUUAGUUGGUGAGGUAACGGCUCACCUAGGCAAUGAUAGGUAGGCGGCCUUAACGGGUGGUCGCCCACACUGGGAUUGAGAUACGGCCCAGACUCCUACGGGAGGCAGCAGUCGAGAAUAGUCUACAAUGGUCGGAAGACUGAUAGUGCGACGCCGCGUGAACGAUGAAUCCCUUCGGGGUGUAAAGUUCUUUUAUAUGUGAGCAGUGCUUCUUAUAUUAACAGUAUGGGGAGAGAGAUAUUAGCAUAUGAAUAAGCAACGGCUAACUCCGUG
This 490-nucleotide ribosomal RNA is filed under the name uncultured bacterium. RNAcentral describes it as "bacterial SSU rRNA". It matches the Rfam family "Bacterial small subunit ribosomal RNA", at positions 33 to 507 of the family's 1533-position model. The record is from RNAcentral.